This 521-nucleotide long non-coding RNA is filed under the name Actinidia chinensis (golden kiwifruit). RNAcentral describes it as "long non-coding RNA (ACHI_LNC008377)". The record is from RNAcentral. Lineage: Eukaryota; Viridiplantae; Streptophyta; Magnoliopsida; Ericales; Actinidiaceae.
GACUGGUGAAAGAUAACUUGUUUAGUCGUUUUCGUAUGGAUCUUACCUUUACUUUCAGAAAUAAUGUGAUUGUAUUCUCAAAGAGAAAUCGGUUUUGUCGAAAGAGUACAAGCAAAAUGAGUUGUUGAAGAAGAUAAUCAAUAGGCCAUAGAGGGAGAGAAGGUGAUGGUUGUGGCUUUAAUGGCAUGGGGUGUUCGAUGCUGCCAAAAUACUCUUACCCAUCGCCAUUUUUACAUUAAUUUGGCUUCAAUAGAAUCCAUUUUUCUUCUUUGAAACCAUUAAGGUAGUGAAUUUUACAUAGAUUUAAUUUUAGAAAUUUCUGCUUGUAUAAUUUAAUUAUCCAAUGUUGUAUCUAUUUUGGAGGCUUGAUAUGAUACGGUAAAUUCUGUGAUAGUUUUCUGGAUUUUUUUUAUAUUUCAUCACAGGAUGUUGUAUUCAAUAGAAAGGUAUGAAUAUGUACCUCAACAACACAGUAGUUGAAGUGCCAAGUAAAGACCUCUUAUUGUCAGAGGAAGUUUUGC